Molecule: unclassified non-coding RNA, 245 nt
Filed under: uncultured fungus
Lineage: Eukaryota; Fungi
Description: sequence contains ITS1
Source: RNAcentral
GUAUAUAUUUGUGCUGUUACACACUAUAACGUCAUCCAUUCCGUAACAUACAUGGGUUUAUAAAAAAAUCAUAGCUAGGGCUUUCGACGUCAUUUCUAACGUCGUGAUCAUCCCAAGCUACACGUAGUGCACAGGUGUGAGAGGUAGAUAUGCGAUCGAGGCGUGCACAUGCCCCAAAAGGCCAGCUACAACCCCUCUCGACAUUCGUUUCAUUAAUGAUCCUUCCGCAGGUUCACCUACGGAAA